Non-coding RNA from Zootermopsis nevadensis, 1082 nucleotides. NCBI's taxonomy places the organism in Eukaryota, Metazoa, Arthropoda, Insecta, Blattodea, Termopsidae. The record is from RefSeq and is a predicted model, not a curated record.
AAGAAAAGUGAAAGAAGACGUUACCAACACCAACAAGGUUCCCAUGUGAAGAAGCAUGCAGAACCUGAUGAAGAUAGCGGCAGACCCGCGAAACAAGUCGCCUGUUCUGAGACGUUUCGACUGUCACUUUGAUACUUUGUACCAUCAAGAAUCAACAAAGGAACAAGUACUUAACCUUAUGGAACAGCGCCGACCUUGAGAAGCUGACAAUCGCUCAGCUGGUCAAGAAGUGUGUAUGAGAAACAUCUGUAACAAAAUGGAUAGGAUGGGACACAUCUUCGAAAGCAGUAUCAGGGAUUAUACUUUUGAAAGAUAUGACAACCAUUUGAUUCAGAUAAAUCUCUAAUCUAAUCACAACAUACCUUUAUUUAUCCAGAACUUAGUCACAACAUUCCCGUGCAAAAUCUUAAUGUAAACUUGAAAUCCAAACGACAUUACAUUUUUUCGGAAAUAUCGUAAAAAAUUCGGACAGCCACUGUUGUAUUUGAAACUGUUUAUACGUAAAUAAUACAAUUUUUUGUUUCUUAAAUGAAGACACACCGAGUGAAUAGAGUUUUGGUAAAGAUACUGCCACGUAGAAUGCAGCCUGAAAUUUCCAUACCGCUCCAAUUACGCAUUUCUCAUUCUGAUUCUAAAUUAUCUUAUUUUUAGGCGUGUUCUAUUCCUUAAAUCCGCUUGUUAAAAUCGCUCUGUUUAACUCUCCGUCUGCGCAUCUAGAAACAAGAGAAUGAAUCAACGGUUAUUCCUGAUAUUUAACAAUGAAUUUUACCUAAAUUUGUCGACACAUUCUAAUUUGUUCAAAAUCUGAUAUCAAAGGGCGCAUUGCUCCUUCAGGACCUCCAAACAAUUCUGCGUUUCAGAAUGUCAGGUUGAGGAAUCCGAAGUCAGGGAAUUCUCAACCAACGACAAAGAUUGAAGGUCAAGUCUGUCGAACGUGCCAGAAUUUUUAGGUUAUGGACAAAUUUAUUUAUUUUGUAGAAUUUCUUGGGGCAAUUUUCGUUGUAGAUUUAUAAGUAUCCGAUUUAUUCAAUAUAAAUAAAAUCAUGAGGGCUUUUCGCUGUAAGCAUUAUAAGCGUUAACUU